This is a long non-coding RNA of Bubalus bubalis (water buffalo), 290 nucleotides long. RefSeq lists it as uncharacterized. NCBI's taxonomy places the organism in Eukaryota, Metazoa, Chordata, Mammalia, Artiodactyla, Bovidae. The transcript is spliced from 2 exons. The record is from RefSeq and is a predicted model, not a curated record.
CCCAGCGCAGUCAAAACUAACUAAAAAAUAUAAAAUGUUAAAAAAAAGAAAGAAAAGUUCUCUUAUCUCACCUACACUACACUCUAGUCUGGUGGCUCUCAAAAUUCCCAGAUCAUCAGCCUCAGCAUCACCUGGGAAUUUGUUGAAAUGAAAUUCUCCAGCCCCACCUCAGACCUGAAGAAUGAGAACCUGCAGCUGGGAUUCAGCAACUCCUUCAUUUACAAGCUCUCCAGCUGAUUCGUAUCCUGCUCACGUUUUAGAACACAUUAAAGGACCUGAGUUUUCCUAAA